Molecule: long non-coding RNA, 1545 nt
Organism: Mobula hypostoma (lesser devil ray)
Lineage: Eukaryota; Metazoa; Chordata; Chondrichthyes; Myliobatiformes; Myliobatidae
Exons: 3
Source: RefSeq, a predicted model, not a curated record
UUCACCAAGGCAUAUCAAAGCAGUUACAGGAAGAGAAUUCAUGUGGUGACAUGAUGAGUCUGCCGUCUAUCAUUCUGUUGACACCCUUCAGAAACGUCCCAGCAACAAAACAGCUCAGCGAAUACUUGAGGGGGAUAAGGACCUGGACUAGACAAAGGGCUUGGUAGGUGACCAGAACUGCACGCAAUACUGAGAGAAGGAAAUCGACCCUUCACCCGUGACCCUUCACCCGUGACCUUGGAGCCAUCGACGCAGUGGAGUCUUAACUGCACUUGGAAAUGGCGAAGCAAGCCGCGUACAGAAUGGACGGAAGACGACCUGCCUGAGGAAGCCUACUGAGAAGAAGUCAUCACCCUGACACAGUGGUGUCGAGACAACAACCUCUCUCUCAAUGUCACGAAAUCAAAGAAUCUGCUUGUGGACUACAGGAGGAACGGAGACAGGCUCACCUCUAUUGACAUCAAUGGAUCUGGGGUAGAGAGAAACAUAGAACAUAGAAAACCUACAGCACAAUACAGGCCCUUCAGCCCACAAUGCUGUGCCGAACAUGACCUUACUUUAGAAAUUACCUAGGGUUACCCAUAGCCCUCUAUUUUUCUAAGCUCCAUGUAUCUAUCCAGGAGUCUCUUAAAAGACCCUAUUGUAUCUGCCUCCACCACCGUUGCCGGCAACCCAUUCCACGCACUCACCACUCUGCGUAAAAAAAAACUUACCUCUGACAUCUCCUCUGUACCUACUUCCAAGCAUCUUAAAACUGUGUUAGCCGUUUCAGCCCUGGGGAAAAACCUCUGACUAUCCACACGAUCAAUGCUUCUCAUUAUCCUAUACAACUCUAUCAGGUCACCUCUCAUCCUCCGUCGUGAGAGAGUGAACAGCUUUAAGUUCCUCGGUAUGCACGUCACCGAGGACCCCACGUGGUGCGUACUGGCUGCGUGGUAAAAAAGCACAACAGCUCAUUUUUCACCUCACACAGUUGAAAAAGUUCGGCAUGAGUCCCCAGAUCCCAAGGACUUUCUACUGGGUCACAAUUGAGAGCAUCCUGACUGGCCGCAUCACUGCCCGGUACGGGAACUGUACUUCACGCAAUUGCAGGACUCUGCAGAGAGUGAUGCGGACAGCCCAGCGCAUCUGUGCUUCCCACUAUUCAGGACAUUUACAGCAACGGGUGUGUAAAAAGGGCCCAAAGGUUUAUUGGGGACCUGAGUCUCCCCAGCCACAAAUUGUUCCAGCUGCUACCACCCAGGAAACGGUAUCGCAGCAUAAACGCCAGGACCAACAGGCUCCGGGACAGCUUCUUCCACCAAGCCAUCAGACUGAUUAAUUCACACUGACGCAAUUGUAUUUCUAAGUUAUAUUGACUGUUCUGUUGUUUAUCUUACUGUACAUCCUAUUUAUUAGAAAUUACUAUAAUUUGCACAUUGCUCAUUUCAGACAGAGACGUAACGUAAACAUUUUUACUCCUCACCUAUGUAAAGGAUGUAAGAAAUGAAGUCAAUUCAAUUCAAAAACUAUGCUUGUAUCAAAUUGACAGUAGUUUUACUACUA